This 467-nucleotide ribosomal RNA is filed under the name uncultured bacterium. RNAcentral's name for it is "partial 16S ribosomal RNA". It matches the Rfam family "Bacterial small subunit ribosomal RNA", at positions 28 to 507 of the family's 1533-position model. The record is from RNAcentral.
GACGAACGCUGGCGGCGUGCUUAACACAUGCAAGUCGAACGGAAGGCCCUGCUUUUGUGGGGUGCUCGAGUGGCGAACGGGUGAGUAACACGUGAGUAACCUGCCUUGAACUUGGGGUUAAUUCAGGAAAAUGGGGCCAAUUACGGAUAAGAACUUCUGCCGCCUGGGGGGGGGUGGGAAGGUUUCGGCGGUUGGGGUUGGACUGGCGCCUAAUCAGCUGGUUGGUGGGGUAGUGGCUUACAAAGGCUUUGACGGGUAGCCGGCCUGAGAGGGUGACCGGCCACAUUGGGCCUGAGAUACGGCCCAGACUCCUACGGGAGGCAGCAGUGGGGAAUAUUGCCCAAUGGGCGGAAGCCUGAUGCAGCAACGCCGCGUGCGGGAUGACGGCCUUCGGGUUGUAACCCGCUUUCGCCUGUGACGAAGCGUGAGUGACGGUAAUGGGUAAAGAAGCACCGGCUAACUACGUG